UACGUAGGUGGCUAGCGUUGUUCGGAAUUACUGGGCGUAAAGCGCGCGUAGGCGGCUAUUCAAGUCAGGGGUGAAAUCCCGGGGCUCAACCCCGGAACUGCCUUUGAAACUGGAUGGCUAGAAUCCUGGAGAGGCGAGUGGAAUUCCGAGUGUAGAGGUGAAAUUCGUAGAUAUUCGGAAGAACACCAGUGGCGAAGGCGACUCGCUGGACAGGUAUUGACGCUGAGGUGCGAAAGCGUGGGGAGCAAACAGG
RNAcentral lists this unclassified non-coding RNA (253 nucleotides) under uncultured Sphingomonadaceae bacterium. Its description in RNAcentral is "contains 16S-23S intergenic spacer region". It matches the Rfam family "Bacterial small subunit ribosomal RNA", at positions 524 to 776 of the family's 1533-position model. Lineage: Bacteria; Pseudomonadati; Pseudomonadota; Alphaproteobacteria; Sphingomonadales; Sphingomonadaceae. The record is from RNAcentral.